GAUGAACGCUGGCGGCGUGCCUAACACAUGCAAGUCGAGCGAACGGACGAGAAGCUUGCUUCUCUGAUGUUAGCGGCGGACGGGUGAGUAACACGUGGAUAACCUACCUAUAAGACUGGGAUAACUUCGGGAAACCGGAUCUAAUCCCGGAUGAUCUUUUGAACCGCAUGGUUCAAAAGUGAAAGACGGUCUUGCUGUCACUUAUAGAUGGAUCCGCGCUGCAUUAGCUAGUUGGUAAGGUAACGGCUUACCAAGGCUACGAUGCAUAGCCGACCUGAGAGGGUGAUCGGCCACACUGGAACUGAGACACGGUCCAGACUCCUACGGGAGGCAGCAGUAGGGAAUCUUCCGCAAUGGGCGAAAGCCUGACGGAGCAACGCCGCGUGAGUGAUGAAGGUCUUCGGAUCGUAAAGCUCUGUUAUUAGGGAAGAACAUAUGUGUAAGUAACUGUGCACAGCUUGACGGUACCGAAUCAGAAAGCCACGGCUAACUACGUG
Molecule: ribosomal RNA, 497 nt
Filed under: uncultured bacterium
Lineage: Bacteria
Description: partial 16S ribosomal RNA
Rfam family: Bacterial small subunit ribosomal RNA
Source: RNAcentral